ACACUCCUGCGGGAGGCAGCAGUGGGGAAUAUUGGACAAUGGGCGCAAGCCUGAUCCAGCCAUGCCGCGUGAGUGAUGAAGGCCCUAGGGUUGUAAAGCUCUUUCACCGGUGAAGAUAAUGACUGUAACCGGAGAAGAAGCCCCGGCUAACUUCGUGCCAGCAGCCGCGGUAAUACGAAGGGGGCUAGCGUUGUUCGGAUUUACUGGGCGUAAAGCGCACGUAGGCGGACUAUUAAGUCAGGGGUGAAAUCCCGGGGCUCAACCCCGGAACUGCCUUUGAUACUGGUAGUCUUGAGUUCGAGAGAGGUGAGUGGAAUUCCGAGUGUAGAGGUGAAAUUCGUAGAUAUUCGGAGGAACACCAGUGGCGAAGGCGGCUCACGGGCUCGAUACUGACGCUGAGGUGCGAAAGCGUGGGGAGCAAACAGGAGUAGAUACCCCGGUAGUCCCAUG
This 450-nucleotide ribosomal RNA is filed under the name uncultured organism. RNAcentral's name for it is "partial 16S ribosomal RNA". It matches the Rfam family "Bacterial small subunit ribosomal RNA", at positions 333 to 799 of the family's 1533-position model. The record is from RNAcentral.